RNAcentral lists this ribosomal RNA (467 nucleotides) under uncultured bacterium. Its description in RNAcentral is "bacterial SSU rRNA". It matches the Rfam family "Bacterial small subunit ribosomal RNA", at positions 96 to 578 of the family's 1533-position model. The record is from RNAcentral.
UGGCGGACGGGUGAGUAACACGUGAGCAACCUGCCUAUCAGAGGGGGAUAACGACUGGAAACGAUCGCUAAUACCGCAUGACAUAGCGGAAUCGCAUGGUUCUGUUAUCAAAGAUUUUAUCGCUGAUAGAUGGGCUCGCGUCCGAUUAGAUAGUUGGUGGGGUAACGGCCUACCAAGUCGACGAUCGGUAGCCGGACUGAGAGGUCGAACGGCCACAUUGGGACUGAGACACGGCCCAGACUCCUACGGGAGGCAGCAGUGGGGGAUAUUGCACAAUGGGGGAAACCCUGAUGCAGCGACGCCGCGUGAGGGAAGACGGUCCUCUGGAUUGUAAACCUCUGUCUUCGGGGACGAAACGAGACGGUACCCGAGGAGGAAGCCACGGCUAACUACGUGCCAGCAGCCGCGGUAAUACGUAGGUGGCAAGCGUUGUCCGGAAUUACUGGGUGUAAAGGGAGCGUAGGCGG